This is a microRNA precursor of Otolemur garnettii (small-eared galago), 85 nucleotides long. NCBI's taxonomy places the organism in Eukaryota, Metazoa, Chordata, Mammalia, Primates, Galagidae. The record is from Ensembl.
AAAGGAAGAUGCAUUCUCUCAUUGGUUGGUGUGUUUUGCCUUGUCAACCAAUAGGAGAAUGCCAUUUACCUUUUUCUGACUAGCU